GAUGAACGCUGGCGGCGUGCCUAAUACAUGCAAGUCGAGCGAACAGACGAGGAGCUUGCUCCUCUGACGUUAGCGGCGGACGGGUGAGUAACACGUGGAUAACCUACCUAUAAGACUGGGAUAACUUCGGGAAACCGGAGCUAAUACCGGAUAAUAUAUUGAACCGCAUGGUUCAAUAGUGAAAGACGGUUUUGCUGUCACUUAUAGAUGGAUCCGCGCCGCAUUAGCUAGUUGGUAAGGUAACGGCUUACCAAGGCAACGAUGCGUAUCCGACCUGAGAGGGUGAUCGGCCACACUGGAACUGAGACACGGUCCAGACUCCUACGGGAGGCAGCAGUAGGGAAUCUUCCGCAAUGGGCGAAAGCUUGACGGAGCAACGCCGCGUGAGUGAUGAAGGUCUUCGGAUCGUAAAACUCUGUUAUUAGGGAAGAACAAAUGUGUAAGUAACUAUGCACGUCUUGACGGUACCUAAUCAGAAAGCCACGGCUAACUACGUG
Molecule: ribosomal RNA, 497 nt
Filed under: uncultured bacterium
Lineage: Bacteria
Description: partial 16S ribosomal RNA
Rfam family: Bacterial small subunit ribosomal RNA
Source: RNAcentral